UAUAUUGGCUAUCCUAAGCAGAUAAGAAGAAUCCAUAGCUAGCAAAUUUGAACUAAGCACAAUAUUUGUUCAAAAUAAAUAAAUAAGAACAGUGAACAGAAGAGUAGAAGUUGUGCUCCAGUAUAGGAAAAUGUCAUGAUAUAAAUCAUCUUAAAGGACAGUUCUCUUCCAUACCUUUAUUGCAGCAGAAAGAAAUCUAUGAGCUAUAGACUCCAUACCAUCUUCCUCAGUCACUAUCGCCUGAAUUGAUAAAGAGAUGACUAUUAGCAGCAGGCCACCACAAUUUGGACAAUUACUGAAAUCUAAACCACUAAAGAAAAGUCUGGCAACUUCAAAGAAUUACUAUCUA
This 349-nucleotide unclassified non-coding RNA is filed under the name Hevea brasiliensis (rubber tree). Lineage: Eukaryota; Viridiplantae; Streptophyta; Magnoliopsida; Malpighiales; Euphorbiaceae. The record is from RNAcentral.